RNAcentral lists this ribosomal RNA (371 nucleotides) under uncultured bacterium. RNAcentral's name for it is "bacterial SSU rRNA". It matches the Rfam family "Bacterial small subunit ribosomal RNA", at positions 1011 to 1382 of the family's 1533-position model. The record is from RNAcentral.
AGAGUGCCUUCGGGAACGCAUGGACAGGUGCUGCAUGGCUGUCGUCAGCUCGUGUCGUGAGAUGUUGGGUUAAGUCCCGCAACGAGCGCAACCCUUGUCCUCAGUUGCCAGCACUUCGGGUGGGAACUCUGGGGAGACUGCCGGUGAUAAACCGGAGGAAGGUGGGGACGACGCCAAGUCAUCAUGGCCCUUACGGCCAGGGCUACACACGUGCUACAAUGGUGCAUACAAACGGAAGCGAAGUCGCGAGGCGAAGCCAAUCUGAUAAAAUGCAUCGUAGUCCGGAUUGGAGUCUGCAACUCGACUCCAUGAAGUCGGAAUCGCUAGUAAUCGUGAAUCAGAAUAUCACGGUGAAUACGUUCCCGGGCCUU